GGGGCUGAUUGGCAUCGACAGGAUUAAAAAGGAAAUUGUUGCAUACCGCAUUGCUGCGUUAAAAGCAAAAAUAAAAUUAAACGCAAACAAAAAUAAAUUAGCUCCUGCUUACGCUUACGCUGCGUAAGUUCAGUUGAGCCUGAUAUCUGCUUAAGCUUGUACGGCGGAAUAUCGGUCAUCUUUCAAGCUAGUUUUAAACCUUGGCUAAGUUUAAAGCGAAUUUUUGCCUUUGCUUUAUAAACUUUGUAAAAAGCGAGUUUAUAAAAGCGAGAUUAAAGCUUUUUACUAAGUAUGUAGAGACAGUUUUUGGACUAAUUUUGGACUGGAGUUCAAAUCUCCACAGCUCCACCA
This 351-nucleotide transfer-messenger RNA is filed under the name Campylobacteraceae. Its description in RNAcentral is "Campylobacter_E canadensis Standard tmRNA". It matches the Rfam family "transfer-messenger RNA". Rfam says of the family: Bacterial tmRNA, also known as 10Sa RNA or SsrA, is named for its dual tRNA and mRNA-like properties. Its role is to liberate the mRNA from a stalled ribosome. RNAcentral also lists the same sequence under 1 other name. Lineage: Bacteria; Pseudomonadati; Campylobacterota; Epsilonproteobacteria; Campylobacterales. The record is from RNAcentral.